UAAAUAGCCAAUCGUUGAAAUUUUGCGCAACAGUUCGCUGCUUCAUUUUUCUGCCAAAGCAACCAUAAAAUUUGUUUUUAAGAUGAAUUUCGGUGAAAUUGAAAUGGUAAAGAAAAUUAUUUUUCUAGUCAUCGUGAUUUUUUGUUUUUCAGAGUGCUUUUUGGUUAUGGUCAGUUCGUCGAAAAAUUUUGAAAACAAUGUCGAUUUUCCUCCAUUACGUUAUUCAUUGGGUGGAGGAAGGAACGAAUGCGCAAAUUCCACUAGAACAUUUGGGAAACGAGAAGAAGGAGAUCGACUAGAAAAUACAAAAGUGAUAAAAAGACCCAUGAUUUUUACCAAGAAAAUCAAUGUGAAUCAAAGAUUGAAUUGCAACAUUACUUCUAUUGAAAUCAAAAAUAAUGUGAAGCCAUGCCGAUGCUUGGAAGAAGAAAAAACAGUUUUCAAUAGUGGCGGACCCGGGUAUAAAUAUUAUAAUUUAACUAUAACAGCAGGAGAGAAAUGCCCUAUUAAACAAAAAAUUCGUUCUUUCACUCGUUGUUAACUUGUAUGUUCAAUUGUUCACGUAUCUUAGCUGAUUUUACAAUAAAUGUUUUAUUGGAAAUGAUUGAUUGGUGGGGUGUUUUUGCAUGCACUUUUGAUCUGAGUUUUUCGACUCAAAUUACACAUAUUCAUACGCACCAAACAUUUUAAAAACAAUAUAAGAAGUAGAUAGGUAGGUAUCCAUACUCAUUUUUACGAACAAUUAAUUGAAAUAUAUAAUUAGGAGACAGUGUGCGAACAUUAGGAACCCACAGUAUGUAUGUAAGUUAUUAAGAGUUACAGGGAGUAGUUCCAAUUCCCAUUUAUCAUCACCGAAGUCAUCACUGCUCCAGAUUAUUCUUACUCGUACGAAUUGAAACCAUCUGUACGGUGAUAAACGUAGCCUACAUGCUUUGUGGGCAGUCAGAAACUAUUUCACUCUAACCGACUACAAAAAAAGUAAGCUGUAGAGUGUUUUUUGGUGAUAGUGAGUUCAUCGAAAGGAGGAACGAAGAAAUGCGCAAAUUCCACUACAACAUUUGGGAAAAGAGAAAAAGGAGAUCAACUAGAAAAUAAAAAAAUGAUAAGAAGACACAUGUCCAACAAAGUAAUCACGGUCAAUGUGAUGAAUCAUACAUUGAAUUGCAACAUUACUUCUAUGAAGAUCAAAAAUAAAGUGAAGCGAUGCAAAUGCGUGGAAGCAGAAAAAACAGUUCUGAAUAGUGGCGGGCCUGGGUAUGAAUAUUAUAAUGUAACUAUAACAUCAGGAAAGAAGUGUCCUAUUAAUCAAGAAAUUCGUUCUUUCACUCUUUGUUAACUUGUAUGUGCACGUAUCUUUGCUGAUUUUACAAUAAAUGUUUUGCUUUCUUAA
Planococcus citri (citrus mealybug) is the source of this 1390-nucleotide long non-coding RNA. RefSeq lists it as uncharacterized. The record is from RefSeq and is a predicted model, not a curated record. Lineage: Eukaryota; Metazoa; Arthropoda; Insecta; Hemiptera; Pseudococcidae. The transcript has 4 exons.